GUGCCAGCCGCCGCAGUAAUACCGGCAGCCCAAGUGAUGGCCGCUGUUAUUGGGCCUAAAGCGUCCGUAGCUGGCCGCACAAGUCCGUCGGGAAAUCCACCCGCCCAACGGGUGGGCGUCCGGUAGAAACUGGCCGGCUUGGAACCGGAAGGCUCAGAGAGUACGUCCGGGGUAGGAGUGAAAUCCCGUAAUCCCGGACGGACUACCGAUGGCGAAAGCACUCUGAGAAGACGGCUUCGACAGUGAGGGACGAAAGCUGGGAUCUCGAACCGGAUUAGAUACCCGAGUAGUCC
This 293-nucleotide ribosomal RNA is filed under the name uncultured bacterium. Its description in RNAcentral is "partial 16S ribosomal RNA". It matches the Rfam family "Archaeal small subunit ribosomal RNA", at positions 455 to 747 of the family's 1478-position model. The record is from RNAcentral.